ACGGUGAGGGAUGAAAGCUGGGGGAGCAAACCGGAUUAGAUACCCGGGUAGUCCCAGCUGUAAACUAUGCAAACUCAGUGAUGCAUUGGCUUGUGGCCAAUGCAGUGCUGCAGGGAAGCCGUUAAGUUUGCCGCCUGGGAAGUACGUACGCAAGUAUGAAACUUAAAGGAAUUGGCGGGGGAGCACCACAAGGGGUGAAGCCUGCGGUUCAAUUGGAGUCAACGCCG
RNAcentral lists this ribosomal RNA (227 nucleotides) under uncultured crenarchaeote. RNAcentral describes it as "partial 16S ribosomal RNA". It matches the Rfam family "Archaeal small subunit ribosomal RNA", at positions 694 to 920 of the family's 1478-position model. Lineage: Archaea; Thermoproteati; Thermoproteota. The record is from RNAcentral.